UUAACCACAUUUCUCAGAUGCUGUUUUAAUUGAUCCCGUGCCUCGGCCUGCACCUCUCCUAGGACAAAUUAUAGGAAGGAGAAGAACCUAAAAGAAUCAAUGGAACUCCUGUCAUUAAUUGUGACGGAAAUCCCGGAGCGCUCGGGGGAAUUCUCCUCCGCUCCCCGGCUGUUUUACGUCACCCCAAAAUGUGCAGUGCCCACCUCCCUGGUGGGGCCACGAGGUGAAGAACCAAUCCAUGGCUUCCCAGCUGACCAGGAAUUGGGGCUGGAGCUGUUCUGUGUAGCCUCCAGCCCCAUUCCCAGCUGUCCUCCGGGUGCUUUCCCAGAAACCCCUCUGUCCUGGAAAGUCUGGAGAUGAAAGAAUCUCCCGGGCUGUAAUCACAGUGCCCAGCCCCAGGAAUUCCAAAAUUGCCCUAAAUGCGGAGGAAAGCAAUUAUAGCAAUUGGGUUGCUGAUGUACUUCCCAAAUUUGUCCCGUGACUAAGGGGAGUUCUCGAGGAACUGCUCCGACCUCCACAAUGGGAAUAUAAAAAUGGUCCCAACCCCGGCGCUCCUCACACGGCUCCUCUUGGUUUGCUCUUCCCUCUGAACUUGGCUCACCUCCACCCCCGCACCCCACCAUGUCCUGCUGCUACUCCCCGCGCUGCUACACCCUGUGCUGCUCCCCCUGCUACCGCACCUACACCCGCACCUACAGCUGCAACCCCUGCAUCAGCCGCACGCUGAGCUGCUGCCGCCGCUCCUACGGCAGCUGCUGCACCUCCCGCAGCUGCACCACGCGCUACUACUACCCCUCGUGCUGCUCCUACUCCUGCUGCUACCCCUGCUGUUGAUCCCAGAGGAAAAUCCCCCCCAACGGACCCGCGCCCACGGAAGACGAACGGAUGAGCCCGCUGUUGGUGUUUGCACAAUCGCGGAGCCCCCGCGGUGAAGUCACCACGAGUGGGGGCUUUGCUGUGCUCUGAAACCUCUUGGAAUUUCUGGGUUUUGUGGUUGUCUCUGUCUCCUUCUUCCUGCCUUUCUCAACUCUCCUGAUAUUCU
Molecule: long non-coding RNA, 1042 nt
Organism: Serinus canaria (Common canary)
Lineage: Eukaryota; Metazoa; Chordata; Aves; Passeriformes; Fringillidae
Exons: 2
Source: RefSeq, a predicted model, not a curated record